GUGCGAUUGAGAUUUACAGAUUGGAAGGUUUGCACUACCUAUAAGUAAUUCUCUCAUUAACUGGAGUCGUUACUACAACGAAACAGGUUAGAAAUCGCCAGUGGUCUUGUGUCGGAUACCGUCGAACAUUCGCUAUUUAAAUUCAAAAUCUGUCGUCAUAUUCACAAUGGCAAACGCACCUCAGCCAGAAGGAGCCCGUCCGUAUAUUUCUAAAAGUCCUUGCUACGUAUCAAUCGUCCCAACGAAACAUACAUAACAGAGUAUAGGAAGGAUGCAUAACACUACGCUGCGUGGUGGACGGACCGUCACCGACUUUACUAUGCUGCCUUCACAGUUACGGUUGCUUUUGUAUUGAUGAGACAUCCUGUGACAUUAGAGUUAGCUUUACUCUAAGUACGGCUAUCAUCCUCGGGCCUCCAAAAGAGGAUCCCAGGGCAUCCACUGGUUUUUCGUAAGGGUCCGCCAUCACCAAAUAAAUUUAAUUCCACCGGCGAAUGUAGGACAACGAAAACUUAUUCUUCGUCAUUCUAUCUUUCAAUUUAAAAAAAAAAUGACGUUUUUAAAUGAAAGUGAAAGUACCUUUAAAAUUAAAAAAAAAGGAUAGUUGUUGAUGAGGAAUAAGUGAUAGUUUUAACUUCUGUACACCACACAAAAAUCAUCAUCUGCGGAAAAGCGGAAGGUUUUUGUGGCAAGAAACUUUCAUUCCCACUGAUAUAUGGGAAAAGAAGAAUUUAGUAAUAACAUCACUAAAUAUCUCUAGAUGGCGUUGCUGCAUACAAUUAUUUUUGAAAAUCGAAAAUCUGAAUCUAUUGGUGUUAAAGAAUAUAAUCCCAAAGGCUCCGUAUCCUAAAUUUUCCAUAAAAUGACGGUUAACCACUU
Bemisia tabaci is the source of this 879-nucleotide non-coding RNA. NCBI's taxonomy places the organism in Eukaryota, Metazoa, Arthropoda, Insecta, Hemiptera, Aleyrodidae. The record is from RefSeq and is a predicted model, not a curated record.